UGAACCGUUCUCGACGGCGCUCACUCACCUUCGUGAUGGCGACUCAGUUUUGCCGGCUUUGGUGGUGGGUAGCGGUGAUGAUUUUUACUGGCUGCGUAAUACGUCCUUUCAAUCUCGUCAUCCUCAUGUGCAAAUAUGAGACGAAGGCUGACAUAAUGACAUUGAUGGUGACAAACCACUAGAAGCGGCGGAUUUCCUCAACUUGAGCUUUGGCCUAAUGUCGAUUCACACAUGUUUUAUGAAGUGCCCAGAUAUCCUACUUUGUUCAUCUUAGCUACUGUCAACUGUAGCUUUUGGGAACUCACAGUAGGAAGUGGAUGCCACAGUUGAGCAUGACGACAUGCGAACAUAUGGAAUGGGCAAUUAAUUUGUUCUCUGAGCUGGCAAAUGCCAUUCCAAGAAUUGAUGAAGCCAUGAGCUUUGCAGAGAUGUGCUAAGUAAUCUAGAGACGCUAAGCCAGGUGCUAUAUGGUUUGAUGGUUUUUCUUGCUGAGUCACAUGAAUUUCCAGCAAUAAGAAACUGAUGGAUAUUGCUUGCAAGCUUGCU
Prunus mume (Japanese apricot) is the source of this 546-nucleotide non-coding RNA. The record is from RefSeq and is a predicted model, not a curated record. NCBI's taxonomy places the organism in Eukaryota, Viridiplantae, Streptophyta, Magnoliopsida, Rosales, Rosaceae.